Cryptomeria japonica (Japanese cedar) is the source of this 665-nucleotide long non-coding RNA. RefSeq lists it as uncharacterized. The transcript has 2 exons. Lineage: Eukaryota; Viridiplantae; Streptophyta; Pinopsida; Cupressales; Cupressaceae. The record is from RefSeq and is a predicted model, not a curated record.
GAAAAAGAAAAAGAAUUAGCACUUUCUAUAUGAGAAAUCAAUACCCAUGCAUACACAACAAAACUAUUAUUUUAGAAAGAGUUUUUUUAUGAGGAUUUUACAUCAGUAUUAUGUUUGAAAUUUCUAGCACUCUCUAGAGUUUAUUUACAUCAGAUAUUUAAGCAUUCUUGAAAGGUUUUCAUUGGGAGUAUUAGUUUUCAGCUUUGGAGAUUUAUUUAUUGGUUGUUUGGGUUUUUUUGGAGGAGUUGAAACAUCACUUCCAAGCACUCUUGAGGAAAUAUCAAAUCAGUAUAUCAAGUUGCAUCAGGUUUCCCUCCUGCCUAUUGUUUCCAAGUAGUUGGGCAUUUUGUACAGGGACAAACAUCUUUCAUGUUAUAAAAGAUUCUGGGGAAAUGUAAGCUUCAUAGUUGGGUGGAAAAGCGCCUAAGCCAUGAUCUCAUAUCUCGAGCUGCGGAUGACAAAUGCAAUCAAUGACACUUAGAGGCACAUGAUUACUUUCAUAUUUUUUAUUAUUCUUUGUAUAAGCUUGCACAUUGUAUAAUGUUCUUGUAUUGAGUUAUCUCUUGGGCAUGAGGGCCUAUAAUGUAAUUAUUAUUCAUCUCUUGUACAUGUGCUUACACUUGGAUUUAGCACUACUUAAUUGAGAUGUAUUGACAUUAAUUGUG